UGCUUACACAUGCAAGUCGAACGAUGAACCGCUUUCGGGCGGGGAUUAGUGGCGAACGGGUGAGUAACACGUGGGCAAUCUGCCCUGCACUCUGGGACAAGCCCUGGAAACGGGGUCUAAUACCGGAUAUGACCGUCUGCCGCAUGGUGGAUGGUGUAAAGCUCCGGCGGUGCAGGAUGAGCCCGCGGCCUAUCAGCUUGUUGGUGAGGUAGUGGCUCACCAAGGCGACGACGGGUAGCCGGCCUGAGAGGGCGACCGGCCACACUGGGACUGAGACACGGCCCAGACUCCUACGGGAGGCAGCAGUGGGGAAUAUUGCACAAUGGGCGAAAGCCUGAUGCAGCGACGCCGCGUGAGGGAUGACGGCCUUCGGGUUGUAAACCUCUUUCAGCAGGGAAGAAGCGAAAGUGACGGUACCUGCAGAAGAAGCGCCGGCUAACUACGUGCCAGCAGCCGCGGUAAUACGUAGGGCGCAAGCGUUGUCCGGAAUUAUUGGGCGUAAAGAGCUCGUAGGCGGCUUGUCACGUCGGUUGUGAAAGCCCGGGGCUUAACCCCGGGUCUGCAGUCGAUACGGGCAGGCUAGAGUUCGGUAGGGGAGAUCGGAAUUCCUGGUGUAGCGGUGAAAUGCGCAGAUAUCAGGAGGAACACCGGUGGCGAAGGCGGAUCUCUGGGCCGAUACUGACGCUGAGGAGCGAAAGCGUGG
RNAcentral lists this ribosomal RNA (703 nucleotides) under Streptomyces sp. A19. RNAcentral describes it as "bacterial SSU rRNA". It matches the Rfam family "Bacterial small subunit ribosomal RNA", at positions 45 to 764 of the family's 1533-position model. Lineage: Bacteria; Bacillati; Actinomycetota; Actinomycetes; Kitasatosporales; Streptomycetaceae. The record is from RNAcentral.